RNAcentral lists this unclassified non-coding RNA (589 nucleotides) under Pyrus neoserrulata. RNAcentral's name for it is "partial contains small subunit ribosomal RNA, internal transcribed spacer 1, 5.8S ribosomal RNA, internal transcribed spacer 2, and large subunit ribosomal RNA". Lineage: Eukaryota; Viridiplantae; Streptophyta; Magnoliopsida; Rosales; Rosaceae. The record is from RNAcentral.
UUAUCAUUUAGAGGAAGGAGAAGUCGUAACAAGGUUUUUGCAGGUGAACCUGCGAAAUGAUCAUUGUCGAACCUGCAUAGCAGAAUGACCCGAGAACCUAUUCCAACGUCGAGGGUCAGCGGGCCUUCAAGCUCGGCGUCCUCUUAUCCCGGGAGCCCGCUCCUGAGCAUACAAACGAACACCGRCGCGUUUUGCGCCAAGGAACCUAAACGAAAGAGCGCGCUUGCUUGGGCAUCACACGCCGUUGCCCACCCUCGAGUUGCAGAAUCCCGUGAACCAUCGAGUUUUUGAACACAAGUUGCGAGGGCACGCUUGCUUGGGCGUCACACGCCGUUGCCCACCCUCGCCUUCCUCGAGARCGUCGGGGUGCACACGAUGGCCUCCCGUGCAUCGACCUACGCGAUUGGCACAAAUGUCAAGUCCUCGAUGACGAACGCCACGACAAUCGGUGGUUGCCAAACCUCGGUUGCCUGUUGUGCGCUUUCGUCGCGCUCCAAGCGGCUCACGAUGCUCCCCGCUCUGCUUCGGCCGAGCUUUCAACACGACCACAGGUCAGGUGGGGUUACCUGCUGAAUUUAAGCAUAUCAAU